This 102-nucleotide non-coding RNA is filed under the name unclassified sequences. Its description in RNAcentral is "Methylobacterium-1 RNA". It matches the Rfam family "Methylobacterium-1 RNA". The record is from RNAcentral. RNAcentral also lists the same sequence under 1 other name.
CAAGCAGAAAUGGUGUUAAAAUAUUAUCUAGCAGGAUAAGGGAAAGUUACCCUUAAAGAAUAUGAAAUUUAUCUUCAUCAGAUUCAUAUUCUUACCGAAGUU